GGUAUUGAUUGGUGCUUGCAUCAUGAUUUACAUUUGAGUGAGUGGCGAACUGGUGAGUAACACGUGGGAAACCUGCCCAGAAGCGGGGGAUAACACCUGGAAACAGAUGCUAAUACCGCAUAACAACUUGGACCGCAUGGUCCGAGCUUGAAAGAUGGCUUCGGCUAUCACUUUUGGAUGGUCCCGCGGCGUAUUAGCUAGAUGGUGGGGUAACGGCUCACCAUGGCAAUGAUACGUAGCCGACCUGAGAGGGUAAUCGGCCACAUUGGGACUGAGACACGGCCCAAACUCCUACGGGAGGCAGCAGUAGGGAAUCUUCCACAAUGGACGAAAGUCUGAUGGAGCAACGCCGCGUGAGUGAAGAAGGGUUUCGGCUCGUAAAACUCUGUUGUUAAAGAAGAACAUAUCUGAGAGUAACUGUUCAGGUAUUGACGGUAUUUAACCAGAAAGCCACGGCUAACUACGUGCCAGCAGCCGCGGUAAUACGUAGGUGGCAAGCGUUGUCCGGAUUUAUUGGGCGUAAAGCGAGCGCAGGCGGUUUUUUAAGUCUGAUGUGAAAGCCUUCGGCUCAACCGAAGAAGUGCAUCGGAAACUGGGAAACUUGAGUGCAGAAGAGGACAGUGGAACUCCAUGUGUAGCGGUGAAAUG
Molecule: ribosomal RNA, 648 nt
Filed under: Lactiplantibacillus plantarum
Lineage: Bacteria; Bacillati; Bacillota; Bacilli; Lactobacillales; Lactobacillaceae
Description: bacterial SSU rRNA
Rfam family: Bacterial small subunit ribosomal RNA
Source: RNAcentral